Molecule: ribosomal RNA, 308 nt
Filed under: eubacterial soil DNA clone S-19
Lineage: Bacteria
Description: partial 16S ribosomal RNA
Rfam family: Bacterial small subunit ribosomal RNA
Source: RNAcentral
GCCGGAGCUAACGNGUUAAGUGUUCCGCCUGGNGAGUACGGCCGCAAGGCUGAAACUCAAAGGAAUUGACGGGGGNCCGCACAAGCGGNGGAGCAUGUGGNUUANUUCGACGCAACGCGAAGAACCUUACCUGGGCUUGAACUGCUAUGGACCGGUAUAGAGAUAUGCCUUUCCGCAAGAACUGUAGCAGAGGUGCUGCAUGGNUGUCGUCAGCUCGUGUNGUGAGAUGUUGGNUUACGUCCCGCAACGAGCGNAAUCCUNACCCNUAGUUGCCAGCGCGUCAUGGUGGNAACUCUACGGNGACUGCC